CGGGUGAGAGUAGAGUGGCGCACGGGUGAGUAACGCGUGGGAACCUGCCAAGCAGUACGGAAUAACCUUUGGAAACGAAGGCUAAUACCGUAUACGCCCUUCGGGGGAAAGAUUUAUCGCUGUUUGAUGGUCCCGCGUCUGAUUAGCUAGUUGGUAAGGUAAUGGCUUACCAGGGCUACGAUCAGUAGCUGGUCUGAGAGGAUGAUCAGCCACACUGGAACUGAGACACGGUCCAG
Molecule: ribosomal RNA, 236 nt
Filed under: uncultured bacterium
Lineage: Bacteria
Description: partial 16S ribosomal RNA
Rfam family: Bacterial small subunit ribosomal RNA
Source: RNAcentral